CAAACUUUAGUUUCGUAAAAGUUAGCGAGAGAGAAACAUGUUCCGCGAUAAUUAAAAAUUAAUCGUUUAUUCACUUUAAAUGUUAUGAAAACAAUGUAAAGUGUAAAUAAAUACGUGUUAUUUGUUGUGCUAUAGUGUUUUGUGUGCAAAAUGAAAGUUAUUGAAGCGAAAAUCGUAGUUUUAGGAUCACAAGGUGUGGGCAAAACCAGCCUGGUGGUCCGCUACAUAGGCAAGAUGUUCUCCAAACACAUUUCGCCCACCAUCGGGGCGUCAUUCUUCACAUGCAACAUUAAUCUCGAGAACGCGAGGGUUAAAUUACAGGUAUGGGACACAGCGGGCCAGGAGAGGUUCAGGUCUAUGGCGCCCAUGUACUAUAGGAACGCUAACGCGGCGCUGCUAGUGUUCGAUAUAACUAGUGUUAAUAGCUUUGCUGCUAUCAAAGGAUGGGUUAAGGAGCUGCAGAGUAAUGUUCCCGAAGCCAUGGUCCUCUCAGUGGUGGGCAAUAAGAGUGACCUGGAGGACCUGAGGGCGGUGCAGUCCAGCGAGGCGGCGCAGUUCGCGGCCUCUAUAGGCGCGCAGUACUGCGAGACUUCGGCUUUGCAUGACCAGCAAGGAAUCGACCAAGUGUUCCUGAAUACGGCGGCGGCUCUACUGAAGCUGUCCAACUCCAACCUGGUGUCCUCGCUGCGGUCCUACGACUCCGCUGAUGUGGACCCUGAUAAAAUACCCACAGGCACGCCGACAGAAGAGGACGCGACCCACACGGGCAAGGUAGAGCUCCCGGCGUGGAGCAUAGACAGCAUCGCGCACGGACACGUGCAGAAGAACAUGUGCUGCUGACCGUACUGUAUAUGGGGGGUAGGGGGGUAGGCAGAGAUCACAGACAUAUUAUACGUGCACAGAAGAAGAUGCGACCCACACGGGCAAGGUAGAGCUCCCGGCGUGGAGCAUAGACAGCAUCGCGCACGGACACGUGCAGAAGAACAUGUGCUGCUGACCGUACCGUGGAUGGGGUAGGCAGAGAGAGAUCACAGUCUUAUCACACGUGCACUGAAGCUAAUUAUAACUAGAUAAUGCAAUAUAAUCUAGGCAAGCAACUCAAAGGCGCCUUUAAUUAGUUUUUGACUGCCGUUUCUCUAUGUUAGGCAUGCCUUUGUAAACUAGCGCUCUAGGCACUUGCCUCGUUUUGCCUUAGAGAUAGUACGGCUCUGUAUGUCCCCUUCAUCAUUCGACCCAUGCGUGCGGCGCGUCGCGUUCCGCGUGCGCCUCAAAGAGCCAUCAGACCACCACAGAUGGGGCCCAGUAGGGCUGAUGCCUGAUCCGGAGCUGCGGACUCACUAGCGAGUUUACCGGGGCUCUGGUUUUAAAGGCAGGAGUAGGAACGGGGUGGUUUUUAGUCAGUAAGAGUCCAACACUCCCUCCCGCCUCGCCCAGAACGGAAGAUUAAUUCAAUGGAUGAUUUUCCCCACUCACAAAAAAUAUUCCAAUAUAUUGAAUAAAACCUUUUCUAACACAUUAUUUUUUAAAAUUGCAACUUUAUUUACAUACGCCAAAUUCUUUGUAGCUGUCAAUUCAAUAAUGUCAUAUUUGAGCGGAUAGGUCAAAUGCAAACAUCGUUUACUUAAUAAAUAAUAAAGAAAAAAUAAAACAUUAACAAAAUAAUCUUUAACAAAAGUGAACAAUCUAAUUUCAAUUAGUAAAAUAUGAGAUUAGAUCGACUAUAAAAAAACAUAUUUACAUGUUUUAUUCAUAGUUUGUAAAACAUACAAAAAAAAUUGUAAAUCAUCCAAAAAUGCUGUUCAAAGGUUUAAAAUUCACAAUACGAAAGAUAUAUAUACCAGUUACUGUAUAUAAGAAGCAACAAGAUUUUUGGAAUAGUAUCUGAAUAUCGCUUUUUUUCAAGUUGGAUUUGAAUUCCAAGAAGUCUUCGAAAAGUGCCUUCGAUGAUCGUCGACUGUGAUGUACUUGCCUAGAUUAUAAAAACUUAUUUAAGUUAUUUUUUAUGUAAUCAAUGGAGGUAAUGACUGUACUAUGCUUG
Spodoptera frugiperda (fall armyworm) is the source of this 2038-nucleotide RNA transcript. It is a transcript of the gene named ras-related protein Rab-31, with no coding region annotated. The transcript is spliced from 7 exons. NCBI's taxonomy places the organism in Eukaryota, Metazoa, Arthropoda, Insecta, Lepidoptera, Noctuidae. The record is from RefSeq and is a predicted model, not a curated record.